Non-coding RNA from Acanthosepion pharaonis, 112 nucleotides. Lineage: Eukaryota; Metazoa; Mollusca; Cephalopoda; Sepiida; Sepiidae. The record is from the annotation of a GenBank genome assembly.
CUACGGCCACAUCACGUUAAAACACCGGUUCACGUACGAAAACCAGAGUUAAGCAACGUCGAGCAAGCUGAGUAUCAAGAUGGGUGACUGUUUGGGAAUGCCAGUUGCCGUA